RNAcentral lists this long non-coding RNA (207 nucleotides) under Ictidomys tridecemlineatus (thirteen-lined ground squirrel). Its description in RNAcentral is "lncRNA (ENSSTOG00000029370.1)". The record is from RNAcentral. Lineage: Eukaryota; Metazoa; Chordata; Mammalia; Rodentia; Sciuridae.
CUGAGAGCCACAGAUAAUUCCCACAACACAUUGGAAUGAAAUUUCAAUUCCAGUGGAUGAGUAGAUCUUGGCUGGGUACAGAAAAUGAUUUAGUCGGUAAAAUGUCAAUUUAGAGGAUUCUUCUGAGAAACAAUCUGUCUGAUGGGAGGGGAAGGAGAUCUCAGCCAGGCUGUGUUUCUUUUAACAUUUUUUAAGAAGAAGAAAAAG